Homo sapiens (human) is the source of this 1371-nucleotide long non-coding RNA. Ensembl annotates it as Fc gamma receptor Ib, pseudogene. Its record names the gene FCGR1BP. NCBI's taxonomy places the organism in Eukaryota, Metazoa, Chordata, Mammalia, Primates, Hominidae. The record is from Ensembl.
AAUUUGGCUCUGGAGCCACCAGCAGAACCUCUUCAAUAUCUUGCAUGUUACAGAUUUCACUACUCCCACCAGCUUGGAGACAACAUGUGGUUCUUGACAACUCUGCUCCUUUGGGUUCCAGUUGAUGGGCAAGUGGACACCACAAAGGCAGUGAUCACUUUGCAGCCUCCAUGGGUCAGCGUGUUCCAAGAGGAAACCAUAACCUUGCACUGUGAGGUGCUCCAUCUGCCUGGGAGCAGCUCCACACAGUGGUUUCUCAAUGGCACAGCCACUCAGACCUCGACCCCCAGCUACAGAAUCACCUCUGCCAGUGUCAAUGACAGUGGUGAAUACAGGUGCCAGAGAGGUCUCUCAGGGCGAAGUGACCCCAUACAGCUGGAAAUCCACAGAGAGUCUCACUCUGUUGCCCAGGCUGGAAUGCAGUGGUGCGAUCUUGGCUCACUGCAACCUCUGACAGAGCUGUUUCAACAAGACACUUUGGGUAAUUCAAGCAGAAGUGUUUCAUGGUUCAAGUGACAACAAAAGGACUAGGGCUGGGAAGAGUCCAUUUUCUUUACCUCUACACAGACUCUAGGACACUCAGCAUCAGUGACUUACUGAGAAUCAUAUCUUUUUUACAUUACAUUUUAAUGUGAAUUUUCAUUGAAAUAUAACUUAUGUACAAUAAGCCAUAAAUGUACGCCACAGUAAAUUUUUUCAAAGUAAACAGCAUCCAGAUCUAUUUUAGACAUUUCCAGCACCUCAGAAACUCCUUCUUGCCCAUUUCUAGUCCACCCCUGACACUGACUUCCAGCACCAUAGGUUUUUUGCCUGUUUUUGAACUUCAUAUAAAGGGCUACGGUAUGGGACAGGAUGUACUCUUUUGUGUCUGGUUUAUUUUUCUCAACAUUAUGAUUGUGAACUGUAUACAUGUUGUAAAUUGAAGUUCAUUUGUUCUUAUUACUGUAUAUUUCAUAUUUUCCCAUUCUGCUGAGGGGCUCGGGUUGCUUCUGGUUUUGACCACUUACAAAUAGUAAUGCUGUGGAUAUUUUUGUUUACAUGUUUCAAAUAUUUUCUACCAUUACUAAUGUUCAACAGUAUCUGAUGGAGGUAUGUUACAAUUUCCCACUCUUUUGGAUAUACAAAUGCAAAUUAAGCAUUUCCCUAAUGACUAUGAUAUUGACCAUUUUUCACAUUUAUUACCUAUUUGGGUAUCCUUUUUUGUAAGGUCUUUUUGAUAAUUUUUCUAUUGUCUGUCUUUUUCUUACUGACUUAUAGGAGUUAUUUAUAUAUUCUGGAUAUAAGUCCUUUUUCAAGAGUCUUAAAUAUCUUCUCCCACUCUGUGGCUUUUCUUUUCACUAUAAUAUUAAAGUUUUGUUUGUUUUCAAUGAA